Molecule: unclassified non-coding RNA, 363 nt
Filed under: uncultured fungus
Lineage: Eukaryota; Fungi
Description: partial contains small subunit ribosomal RNA, internal transcribed spacer 1, and 5.8S ribosomal RNA
Rfam family: Eukaryotic small subunit ribosomal RNA (bases 1-73)
Source: RNAcentral
UCAAACUUGGUCAUUUAGAGGAAGUAAAAGUCGUAACAAGGUUUCCGUAGGUGAACCUGCGGAAGGAUCAUUGCCGAACGGACGCCCGGUUCCAACCUCUCUUCACCGAGAGGAAACCGGGUGUCUUUUUCGACCAACCCAUGUGAACUCGUUCAAUGUGUUUAACAGUGUUGGUGUGGUGGUGGUGGGGGCAACCCCCCUCACACACACAUCCCGCUGUCCAAACAUUUUUAACAAACCACAUUUCUGAACACUCUUGACUGAGACUUACAGGUCACGCCUAAAAACGUUGAUCUCAAAAACCUAACCAUUACAACUUUUAACAACGGAUAUCUUGGCUCGCGCAUCGAUGAAGAACGCAGC